UUAAACAGACAUGAACAUGCUUGUGCGGGACCCUUAUAAAAGCUUCUUCUCUCCUCAGGUCAACAACAAGCUCACCUCAAAGCACAGCAGAGACAACUGAAACCAGCGUCAUUCUCUGACUCUCUAGAUUUCAGCAGGAACAAUGGCCAACAUUGGUAAUACCGGCAACAUCAAGGUGGGCUGCAACUCAGGCAACGUUGGUUCUAAUAAUGCCUUCGGCAUUCAAGGAGGGGUUGGACACAAUGCUUCUGUGGGCAACACCACUGGAGUCACUGUCACAGGAAGUAAUGCAGGGAACAUCGGAUCAGGCAACACAUUUGAUAUAAAAGGAGGAGUGGCAGGUUGUCAAAGCGUUUGCCACACUGCUACUGUUAAACCUUGUUGUAAACCAGGAUGCACUGGUUCAGGGCAUUGCUGCAAAUGAGCUAAGGAAAUCGGCCUCCAACUCUUCCAAAAACAAUGCACCAUUUGUUGAAUGUUGAAUUCAUGAUUUCAAAUCAACAGUAUGAAUGUAAAGGAAAUUUGAGUGCAA
Molecule: long non-coding RNA, 532 nt
Organism: Perca flavescens (yellow perch)
Lineage: Eukaryota; Metazoa; Chordata; Actinopteri; Perciformes; Percidae
Exons: 5
Source: RefSeq, a predicted model, not a curated record